GUUAAAUUUUCAAUAUACAUGUAAGAGCAAAGAAAAGAAAAAUGUAUCUCAAAAAAAUAAUUUUUACACUUUUCUGCUUAAUUGCCUUCAGAAUUCAAGUCAGUGAACAAUGUCAAGGCAGAACAAAACCCUGUGUAUUUAAUUUGGAUUGUUGCAGUCGACGAUGUAUACAAUAUUCUGGAAGGUGUGUCUAAAAAUUUUCCGUUUAAUUAAAGUUAAAUUGAAAAAUAUAAAUAAAAUUUCAAGGAGACAUUACAUUCACGAUAUCAAAUAAAAAUGAGUUAAUAAUGUAGGAAAAAUAAAUAAUUAGUUAUAGUAA
Leptopilina heterotoma is the source of this 319-nucleotide long non-coding RNA. RefSeq lists it as uncharacterized. Lineage: Eukaryota; Metazoa; Arthropoda; Insecta; Hymenoptera; Figitidae. The transcript has 2 exons. The record is from RefSeq and is a predicted model, not a curated record.